AUGCAAGUUGAAGGGGGUACAUUGUUGUAGCACUACCUUGGUGUACUUACUGGCGGACGGGUGAGUAACACGUACGGUACCUACCCUCAAGCGGGGGACAACCCGGGGAAACCCGGGCUAAUACCACAUAAAACCUCGGACUGGGAUGUUUGUGGUAAAAGUAGCAAUACACUUGGGGAUGGGCCUGCUGCCUAUCAGGUAGUUGGUGAGGUAACGGCCCACCAAGCAUAAUACGGGUACUCAGACUAAGAGGUUGGACGGCCACACUGGAACUGAGACACGGUCCAGACUCCUACGGGAGGCAGCAGUGGGGAAUUUUGCACAAUGGUCGAAAGCCUGAUGCCCCGACGCCGCGUGGAGGAUGAAGGCCUUCGGGUUGUAAACUCCUUUUGUAGGGGAAGAUAAUGACGGUACCCUGCUUAAUAAGCCACGGCUAACUCUGUGCCAGCAGCCGCGGUAAGACAGAGGUGGCCAGCGUUGUUCGGAAUCACUGGGCUUAAAGGGCGCGUAGGUGGUAGUGCAAGUCUGGGGUGGAAUUUUAGGGCUUAACCCUAAAAUUGCCCAGGAAACUGUAUUACCUGAGUCAGUGAGGGGAAGGUAGAAUACCCGGUGUAGCGGUGAAAUGCGUAGAUAUCGGGAGGAAGCCCUGUGGCGAAGGCGGCCUUCUGGCGGUGAAAUGACAGUGAGGCGAGAAAGCGUGGGUAGCAAACAGGAUUAGAUACCCUGGUAGUUCACGCCCUAAACGGUGGGUACUAGGUGUAGGGCUAGUAAGGGUUCUGUGCCGAAGCGAAAGCAUUAAGUACCCCGCCUGGGGAGUA
Molecule: ribosomal RNA, 818 nt
Filed under: uncultured bacterium
Lineage: Bacteria
Description: bacterial SSU rRNA
Rfam family: Bacterial small subunit ribosomal RNA
Source: RNAcentral